Etheostoma cragini (Arkansas darter) is the source of this 110-nucleotide long non-coding RNA. RefSeq lists it as uncharacterized. NCBI's taxonomy places the organism in Eukaryota, Metazoa, Chordata, Actinopteri, Perciformes, Percidae. The transcript is spliced from 4 exons. The record is from RefSeq and is a predicted model, not a curated record.
AUACAAUAGCAUGAAAACUUAUCCCAGAGAACAAUUGACUCUGUCCACAUAUGUUAUUAACCUCUAGGUUAAUUUUGCGCCAGAAUUGCCCAUUAACUUUUGAACUGCAU